GGACGAACGCUGGCGGCACGCUUAACACAUGCAAGUCGAACGGAGAUAAUUGAGUUACUUAGAUUAUCUUAGUGGCGGACGGGUGAGUAACACGUGAGCAACCUACCUUAGAGAGAGGGAUAGCUUCUGGAAACGGAUGGUAAUACCUCAUAACAUAACUGAACCGCAUGAUUUAGUAUCAAAGAUUUAUCACUCUGAGAUGGGCUCGCGUCUGAUUAGAUAGUUGGUGAGGUAACGGCUCACCAAGUCGACGAUCAGUAGCCGGACUGAGAGGUUGAACGGCCACAUUGGGACUGAGACACGGCCCAGACUCCUACGGGAGGCAGCAGUGGGGAAUAUUGCACAAUGGGGGAAACCCUGAUGCAGCGAUGCCGCGUGGAGGAAGAAGGUUUUCGGAUUGUAAACUCCUGUCUUAAAGGACGAUAAUGACGGUACUUUAGGAGGAAGCUCCGGCUAACUACGUGCCAGCAGCCGC
Molecule: ribosomal RNA, 475 nt
Filed under: uncultured bacterium
Lineage: Bacteria
Description: bacterial SSU rRNA
Rfam family: Bacterial small subunit ribosomal RNA
Source: RNAcentral